ACCAGUUAUGUAGAUGUUCUCAUCAGAUAAGUUGGUAGUCCCAGGAACUUGAAUGUGAGUAUGAUUGGUUGUAUGGAGGUGUGUAAGUCAUAGAGAAAAGUGAUGUUGGUUAGAAAGUAUCAGUAAAAUUCUAAGUGUUGAGGAGUGUUUCUUGAGUUGUCCAAGAGAGUUUGAGGGUUAGUGCCAGAGUGUCCUGGAUAUCUCUGCAUGUCCGAAUCUGAAUGCCCAAACUAACCCUCUCUCUUCCCUUUGUCCUAACUUUUAAAGGGCCAGACUCUCUGUACGUCAUUAGUUGAUAAGGCCAAAAGGAAACUGAAGGUGUGGUCAACCUGCAGAUCGCAAUUUAGGUAUUUGAUCCAUAGAGGGCAGUCUCGCCUCACUAAACUUUCCUAUCCAGGAAAGAGUUAACUUUUCCUGAUGACGAUUUUGACGUCAUUUGGCUUAUCUAAAAUGACUACCAUAACUUAAAUUUGCUGUCAGUUCAAAGCGUAUGCCUCAGUCUUUGUGGCAACGACUUUGAUUGUAAUUUCUAAACUUGACAGUUCUAAACUCAAUUUCACCCCUUGCUUACAAUGGGACCUUGUAAAAUAUAGAGAGUAAAAUUAAUUACUUAUCUUCUGUGUCACUAGUGUCUGUGUUUAAAAUUAUUUCUAUUCCAUUAACAUUUAAACAGAGCAUUCCAUCCCUCUGGUUCAUUGCUUAUCACUUGGCUUGUUACAUAAUGCAUUCCGUAGCUCAGGUUGAUGGCUAGUGUUACUGAAAGCAAGGGAAGAAAUCUUGUCUGUCUUGCCUGAAAUCCAAAAUGGAGUCCGCUCUGUUCUGAGUGAUUCUGGCAAUAUACACUUUUAAUUUCUAUCGUAGCACAAAAUGUCUGCCGAUAUAAAUAUCUUGACAACACACACAGCCACACAAUACCACAUGCACACACAAUGUGACAUAUCAUACACACACACAGCCACACAAUACCACAAGCAGCCCACAUUCCUUGGUAAUCUACACAAACUACUCAUGAACAUAUACAAUAUAACAGCCCACAUACACACAAGUAAAACACUACAAGGCAACUGCAGCACCCUAAAUAACACAAGCACAAUACGGCAACAUACACACCUCCAAUUUAAAAAAAUUUUUUUUUUUUAAAUCCGGCACGCUGAGGGACUGCAAGAUCUUGUUUUGGCA
Pelobates cultripes (western spadefoot toad) is the source of this 1179-nucleotide non-coding RNA. Lineage: Eukaryota; Metazoa; Chordata; Amphibia; Anura; Pelobatidae. The record is from the annotation of a GenBank genome assembly.